RNAcentral lists this small RNA (3328 nucleotides) under Pongo abelii (Sumatran orangutan). RNAcentral's name for it is "retained intron". Lineage: Eukaryota; Metazoa; Chordata; Mammalia; Primates; Hominidae. The record is from RNAcentral.
AUGUUGAAUUUGGAAAUUCGAGGGGACGCUGGUGGACGGAUUGGGUGCAAGGAGUUGGUGUUGAUGGAGGAGCAGGACGCCAGAGUCCCAGCCCUGGAACCAUUCAGAGUGGAGCAGGUUGUCAGAACUCAGGGUGCAGAGGGUGAAGGAGGCAGGCUGAUUCCUGAGUUCUUGGGUUGGGACUGCCCCCUUCCACCAAAUUCAUUCUUACUGUCAGAGUCCAUUCUGGAAUGGCACUGGUCCCUUGACUUCAGACCCUGACCUGUCUGAGGACAUCCUGAGCCUGUCUUCAGGCAUAGGGGUUGCUCUGUGAUGAUAUGUCCUCUGUGUGGGUUGAAGGACCACACCUUCAGGGGGUCUUUCUAUCCUAGGCACCACCUGUAAUCUACUAUGUCCCUGACUUCAUCUCCAAAGAAGAGGAGGAGUAUUUGCUUCGACAGGUGACCUCAGUGCCCUUCUGGUCUGUUUUCCCACUCUUCCCAUAUUCCUCCCCAAUGCCUAUCCUCUGUAUGAGAGCCCCCAAGGCUGCAGUGAAGACCCCGACAGAAGGAACAAGGAAGUUACAGAGCUCAUACUCCCUCUACUGAGAUAGCCCAAUCCUGCUAGCUUAGAGAAUAGGGGGUUAUAAACAUAGGCUGAGAUAGCCCAGUUCAGAUCAUUGAGACUGGGGAGUAAAGAAUUUUGUAUUCAGAUUUCUGUGCUGAGAUAGCCCAGUAAACUCUUUCCUGUGCUAAAAUAGCUCAGCAUAGACCCAGAGCCUUAGGAAUAAGGUUACCAAAUACAGACCAUCUAUGCUGAGAUGGCCCAGUCUGCAUUCUGUUCUUAAGGUUUGGGGGAAGAAGAAUUUUCAAAGCUCAGAGUUCCUGCCCUUUGCAGCCCCAGUGCCUAAGUUACAGAGCACAGAUCUUCCCUGUGUUGGAGUAACCCACUGAUCUUGAGUCCAGGAAAAAAUUAGCUACAGAACACAGACUUUUUUGCUGAGAUAGCCCAUUCCAGACCUUUGCGUUCUUGGCAUUGAAAAAUCUAUAUAUUAUAGAAUUCCUCGGCUGAAAUAGCCCAGUACAGCUCCAUAACCAUGAAGGGAAUGAGUAGAUUAUCAACUAGAGCAUAGACUUGUUGGACUGAGAUAGCCCAUUCUAGAUCAUUAGGAUCUUGGCAGUGGAAGAUUUUCAAAGUACUUUCUUUGCUGUGCUGAGAUAGCCCAGCUUUGCAUACUCCCUCCCCCAGGCAAUAGGAACAAGGAGGUUGCAGAACUCAAACUGUCCUCAGAGAGCCCAGGAAUCAGGAAUUUUUGUUUGUUUGUUUUUUGAGACAAUCUUGCUCUGUCACCCAGGCUGGACUGCAGUGGCGUGAUCUCGGUUCACUGUAGCCUCUGCCUCCUGGGUUCAACUGAUUCUUGUGUCUCAGUCUCCUGAGUAGCUUGGAUUGCAGGCGUGUGCCACCACACUGCCUCCCAGGUUCAAGCGAUUCUCCUGCCUUAGCCUCCCAAGUAGCUGGGAUUACAGGUGCAUGCCACCAUGACCAGCUAAGUUUUGUAUUUUUAGUAGAGACGGGGUUUCCCCAUGUUGGCCAGGCUGGUCUCGAACUCCUGACCUCAAGUGAUCUGCCCGCCUCGGCCUCCCAAAGUGCUGGGAUUACAGGCAUGAGGGACCGGGUUUGGCACGGAAUCAGGAAAUUAGAAUGCAGACUAUUUGCUGGGCUGAAAGAGCCCUGUCCAGCCCCAGAACUGAGUAGACUGUGAGACCCACAACUCUCAGACCACGGUUGUGCAGCCCUGAUUCCUAAAUCCUGGUAGACACGGGUGGGCUUUGGGGCCAAAGGCGUUCCCAGGAAAAAAGGCAAACCACAAAAUCCUAGGAACCCACCGCCCCAGGGAAUGGUCCCACAGACACAGAUGACCCAUUUCCACCCCGGAGGUAAAGGCCCCUAUGUUGGCCUAGGUGGGAGGAUCAUAGAGGGGUGAUCAUGAGAAAGGAGUGACCCCCUUCCCACCUCUUAGGUUUUUAAUGCCCCAAAGCCAAAGUGGACCCAGCUCUCUGGGAGAAAGUUACAGAACUGGGGUAAGUAUCCCUGGCUGGGGGCAUGAGUGAUUCUGGGAUGUAGGCUGGGGCAGGGGACUCAGGUCCAAUAGACUUAAGACAUCAGAGGGUCCCUGACAGCUCAAGGGGCCCCAAGAGCCAGGAGGAUUCUGAAGGGGUCAGUGGAGGUCCUGAGGGAUUAGGGAUUUCCUGAUGAGUUGGGAGUAUCUGAAAGGGGCCCGUGGUCUGGAGAAGUGAGGAAACCUCUGAAGGACCCAGUGGCUAUCUCCAAAGGGUCAGGGGUCCCUGAGGGGAUCAGGGUGCUUCCAGCCACUGUGGAAUCCCUAGUGGGGGAUCUAUUGCUAUAGGGGAGCCCUCAGGACCCCAUUGCCUUCCCCAGGUGGGCUUCCUCAUCCCCGGGGGAUGGUUCCUGAGCGGCUGCCCCCAUGGCUCCAGCGCUACGUGGACAAAGUGUCAGACCUCAGCCUCUUUGGAGGCCUCCCAGCUAACCAUGUCCUCGUGAACCAGUAUCUGCCUGGGGAGGGCAUCAUGGUAACCACACACCCUCGGCCAGUGUCCCCCCACUCAGACUUCUGAGCUGUGCUGGGGCAGGGGACCCUGUGCCCACCCUCACUCAUUAGGCAGCCACAUCUCCCAAACAGGCAUUCACCUCCCUGUCCCUGGCUUGGGAAGCCCCACUUUGACCCAGAGGGUGGGGGUUGUGGACUCCUGCCCUGCCCAGCCCUGGUGCCCACUCCUCAGCCCCACGAGGACGGACCACUGUACUACCCGACUGUCAGCACCAUCAGCCUGGGCUCCCACACCGUGCUAGACUUCUACGAGCCACGGCGGCCAGAGGACGAUGACCCUACAGAACAGCCUCGGCCUCCGCCCCGGCCCACCACCUCGCUACUGCUGGAACCGCGCAGCCUGCUGGUGCUCCGCGGCACCGCCUACACGCGCUUCCUCCACGGCAUCGCCGCCGCCCGCGUAGACGCGCUGGACACCGCCUCCCCGCCGCCCAAUGCGGCAGCCUGCCCGUCGGCGCGGCCGGGAGCCUGCCUGGUGCGCGGCACCCGGGUCUCACUGACCAUCCGCCGCGUGCCCCGCGUGCUGCGCGCCGGCCUCCUGCUGGGCAAGUGACCGCCAGGGCCGGGACCCCUCGGAUUCCCAGGUUCCUGCCCCCUUGGGGCUGCUGUGACUCUGCGACCUAGGAACCGUGGGCAGAGGGGGCUCCCCUGGGUUAUUUAUUUUCCCAAUAAUUUUGUGUGAGCUACAGAAGACCCCAUACCAAAUAAACAAAAAAUCUU